UACGUAGGGUGCAAGCGUUAAUCGGAAUUACUGGGCGUAAAGCGUGCGCAGGCGGUUUUGUAAGUCUGUCGUGAAAUCCCCCGGGCUCAACCUGGGAAUUGCGAUGGAGACUGCAAGGCUAGAAUCUGGCAGAGGGGGGUAGAAUUCCACGUGUAGCAGUGAAAUGCGUAGAGAUGUGGAGGAACACCGAUGGCGAAGGCAGCCCCCUGGGUCAAGAUUGACGCUCAUGCACGAAAGCGUGGGGAGCAAAAGGG
This 254-nucleotide ribosomal RNA is filed under the name uncultured bacterium. Its description in RNAcentral is "partial 16S ribosomal RNA". It matches the Rfam family "Bacterial small subunit ribosomal RNA", at positions 524 to 776 of the family's 1533-position model. The record is from RNAcentral.